Molecule: ribosomal RNA, 402 nt
Filed under: uncultured bacterium
Lineage: Bacteria
Description: partial 16S ribosomal RNA
Rfam family: Bacterial small subunit ribosomal RNA
Source: RNAcentral
UGGGGGAAUAUUGCACAAUGGGCGCAAGCCUGAUGCAGCAACGCCGCGUGAGGGGAUGACGGCCUUCGGGUUGUAAACCUCUUUUUAGCAGGGAAGAAGCGAAAAGUGACGGUACCUGCAGAAAAAAGCACCGGCUAACUACGUGCCAGCAGCCGCGGUAAUACGUAGGGUGCAAGCGUUGUCCGGAAUUAUUGGGCGUAAAGAGCUCGUAGGCGGUCUGUCGCGUCUGCUGUGAAAUCCCGAGGCUCAACCUCGGGCCUGCAGUGGGUACGGGCAGACUAGAGUGCGGUAGGGGGAGAAUGGAACUCCUGGUGUAGCGGUGGAAUGCGCAGAUAUCAGGAAGAACACCGAUGGCGAAGGCAGUUCUCUGGGCCGUAACUGACGCUGAGGAGCGAAACGCGU